This 330-nucleotide ribosomal RNA is filed under the name uncultured bacterium. Its description in RNAcentral is "bacterial SSU rRNA". It matches the Rfam family "Bacterial small subunit ribosomal RNA", at positions 568 to 898 of the family's 1533-position model. The record is from RNAcentral.
UGUGUAGGCGGUUUGGUAAGUCUGGUGUGAAAUCUCCCGGCUCAACUGGGAGGGUGCGCCGGAAACUGCCGGACUCGAGUGCGGGAGAGGAGAGUGGAAUUCCUGGUGUAGCGGUGAAAUGCGUAGAUAUCAGGAGGAACACCGGUGGUGUAGACGGCUCUCUGGACCGUAACUGACGCUGAAACACGAAAGCGUGGGUAGCAAACAGGAUUAGAUACCCUGGUAGUCCACGCCCUAAACGAUGCAUAUUUGGUGUGGGUCAUUCAGUUGAUCCGUGCCGGGGCUAACGCGUUAAAUAUGCCGCCUGGGGAGUACAGUCGCAAGGCUGAA